CCUACGGGAGGCAGCAGUGAGGAAUAUUGGUCAAUGGACGAGAGUCUGAACCAGCCAAGUAGCGUGAAGGAUGACUGCCCUAUGGGUUGUAAACUUCUUUUAUAUGGGAAUAAAAUGUUCCACGUGUGGGAUUUUGUAUGUACCAUAUGAAUAAGGAUCGGCUAACUCCGUGCCAGCAGCCGCGGUAAUACAUAGGAUCCGAGCGUUAUCCGGAUUUAUUGGGUUUAAAGGGAGCGUAGGUGGAUUGUUAAGUCAGUUGUGAAAGUUUGCGGCUCAACCGUAAAAUUGCAGUUGAAACUGGCAGUCUUGAGUACAGUAGAGGUGGGCGGAAUUCGUGGUGUAGCGGUGAAAUGCUUAGAUAUCACGAAGAACUCCGAUUGCGAAGGCAGCUCGCUGGACUGCAACUGACACUGAGGCUCGAAAGUGUGGGUAUCAAACAGGAUUAGAUACCCUAGUAGUC
RNAcentral lists this ribosomal RNA (460 nucleotides) under uncultured bacterium. RNAcentral's name for it is "partial 16S ribosomal RNA". It matches the Rfam family "Bacterial small subunit ribosomal RNA", at positions 338 to 795 of the family's 1533-position model. The record is from RNAcentral.